Molecule: ribosomal RNA, 440 nt
Filed under: uncultured bacterium
Lineage: Bacteria
Description: partial 16S ribosomal RNA
Rfam family: Bacterial small subunit ribosomal RNA
Source: RNAcentral
CCUACGGGAGGCUGCAGUGGGGGAUAUUGCACAAUGGGGGGAACCCUGAUGCAGCGACGCCGCGUGGGUGAAGAAGCGCCUCGGCGCGUAAAGCCCUGUCAGCAGGGAAGAAAAUGACGGUACCUGAAGAAGAAGCCCCGGCUAACUACGUGCCAGCAGCCGCGGUAAUACGUAGGGGGCAAGCGUUAGCCGGAUUUACUGGGUGUAAAGGGGGCGCAGACGGCGAUGCAAGCCAGGAGUGAAAGCCCGGGGCCCAACCCCGGGACUGCUCUUGGAACUGCGUGGCUGGAGUGCAGGAGGGGCAGGCGGAAUUCCUGGUGUAGCGGUGAAAUGCGGAGAUAUCAGGAGGAACACCGGUGGCGAAGGCGGCCCGCUGGACUGCAACUGACGUUGAGGCCCGAAAGCGUGGGGAGCAAACAGGAUUAGAUACCCUUGUAGUC